CACAUUGUCUUUACCUACAGGUGCAGUUUGUGUGUAGGCUUGUGAUGUUCACAUUGUCUUUACCUACAGGUGCAGUUUGUGUGUAGACUUGUGAUGUUCACAUUGCCUUUACCUACAGGAGCAGUUUGUGUGUAGACUUGUGAUGUUCACAUUGCCUUUACCUACAGGUGCAGUUUGUGUGUAGACUUGUGAUGUUCACAUUGCCUUUACCUACAGGUGCAGUUUGUGUGUAGGCUUGUGAUGUUCACAUUGCCUUUACCUACAGGUGCAGUUUGUGUGUAGGCUUGUGAUGUUCACAUUGCCUUUACCUACAGGUGCAGUUUGUGUGUAGACUUGUGAUGUUCACAUUGUCUUUACCUACAGAUGCAGUGGAUGUUCAUGUAACUUGUGAUGUUUUGGCAUCCCAUUCAGAAGUGAUCUUGAUAUUUUGCCCCUUAUUUGCCAUGAUAGGUUACAGCUCUCCCAUGAGCCCCAAACUGGGGCACUGAAAUGGUGUGUGUGUGUGUGUGGGGGGGGGGGGGGGGGGGCAACCAUCAACUAAGAUCAGCCAUGGUAUUUUUUUGUUUAUACAUUUUAAUUAUGUCACUUCAUUCCCUGCUCAAUUCCAUCUGCUCUGACAACAUCCUCUCAACAGUUCUGGCUGUGCAAUCAUUAAUUCCUUACUUAUUCACUGAAGCCACAGUGCUGGUUUGCAGUCGUUAAUUCCUUACUUAUACACUGAAGCCACUUGGCACCAUUUAGUGUACUGCAAAUUGAUGCAAAACAUCUUAUACAGCUGUGGAAUUACACAACUGUAUUACUACUUCCCUAUCUUAUUGGUUCAUAGGUAUGUACUAGUCUACCUGCCCUUGUGGGCCAUUUUAAGCCUAGUCACUUUCCCUUUUUGUGCUCAAAUUAACCCAUCAUGUUUGGUUAGAGACUGGCCUCACCCAUCCCAUGGUAGAUAAUUAUAUAUUACCCCUAAUGUGAAUAACUGGGAUCAUAGCAUAGAUAAUUUCAGGGGACCCAUGCGUGGGACAAAGCAUUUUGGAAAUGCCUGUCUCUAUUAGUAGUAAAAGGGGCAGUCCUGGGGUAAUCUUGCCUUGUCACGCACAGGUUAACUUGACAGUCCUAACUAUAUGUGAGCUUACAUAACAUGUAUGACUAAGCUGUUUCCAAGGCUGACCAGACUCUUUUUAGCUACAGAAACUAUCACUUCUUAAAUCUUCACUAGUUAACAGCAGCAUUGUGGUUUGUUCCCAUGCCUAUCAUAGUAGACAGUCUCUCUUCAGUGUGUAUGCGUGUGUGUGUGUGUGUGUGUGUGUGUGUGCGUGUGUGCGCGCAUGCGCGCACGCAUGCACACAUGCAUGCAUGUUUGUUUAAAUGUGUGCAUGUUUGAGGGAUGGUAAAUGAGGGGGGUCCAUUGACAAUGCAGUGCAUAAGCUCCCUAGAGUGAGUAACACAGCAAGGUGCUUGCUAGUAUUUGCAAUCAUUACCUUGUGAUUCAAAGACAUGCAAAUUAACUGGUAAUGAGGUCUUUCCUCAUUCUGGUUAACUUGUCUCUGAAUCACUGGCUUUUGCAAUUACAUUAACAGGCCCUUUUUGUUGCAGCCUUACUGCUCAUGCCUGGGCUGUUUCUGAAUCCUGCUUCAUGCCUGAGUAUCUGCAAUGUGAGUGCAUCUUUUUUUUUUUUUUUUUUAUAAAGGAGUUUUAAUACAUAGGAAAGCAUUUUCCAUAAAGUAUUACCAUCACAUGUAUAUUUAUGAAACUUAUUUGGAACACUUGAUAAAAGGUCGACAUUUGGCAGGUGAUAUUGGAAAUGUUAAACCGUUAAGUCCAUUUACCACUGACUUAGACAUUAUACCUCAUUUUUUUACAGCAUACCAAAAACAUAAUACCUUGACUCACAGUAUCUUUAUGAAUGCUGUCCAAACCUAGUGCAUUCGGUAAGGGUGACUAGGGCUCUUUAACCUCAUUUUGUAAACACUAUAAUUCCUUGAGCACACUGAGCUCAGUGAAGAUGUAUGCUGUGUUGACUGCAGGUGACAGUUUUUAAGUUUACCAAUGAGCCAGGCCUGCACAAACUACUUUAAGGAGUUUUGAUUGAAAGUCAGUUUUUGGUUUUAUUCUUUCUUCCUUCGCAAAUGAUAUUUUCUAAUGUAGCUGUAUGCUAUACUGCCAUGCAAUUACAUUGCUGUGCUUAUGUCACUGUAGUUCCUUGUUACUACAUUUGAAGUGCCUAAGCCAUAACUAACUCCAGCAUUAGCCCUGCCUUUGUUCAGUUCACCUUAAUGUGCAUCUGAGAACAAAGGUCAAAAUAAGAUGUUUUGUUCAGCAAAAGCAGUUAAAACUAUACCAUAAAUUCAUAUAUUCUGUAUAAUCUAACAACAAACAAUAUUCUGGAUUUGGUGAUUAUUGACUUGUACAUCCAAACCACAACUUUGGUUCUUAGUAAACAAAGCUAUUUGGCUUGUCCAUCUUUACAAAGGUACUGUGACUUAAAAAAUGGAAGAUUCAACGUCAUGAAAGAACAGUUGAAGAAUCAGUGAUUCGGGGUAACUUUAAGUUGACAAAGAGUAAUAAAAGAAUAAGAAAAUGCAAAUUAUUUUGGAAAUAUGAGGUGUUAGUCAUAUGAAUAUGUAUUAUUUUUGCUGUAAGUUUGCUGCCGUUUUGUAACCAGCAGAUUGAGUGCCUCAUUCAUUUUCACUGCUAAUCCAGCAUGACUCCUUAUCAGGUAAGUCCCCUUUCCAUGUGUAAUUUAAGCUUACCUGUGUAGCAUUUCCAGUGUAGCAGUGGACAGAUUGUGAAGCCAGUGGUGCGUGGCACUUUGUGAUGACUUUGUAAAUAGCUGCUCACCUCCUCCAACCACAGUAUGCGGAGGGAAGUACCUUACUCUGGGCUUGCAUCCACCAACCCUACUUGCCUUCCUCCUGCUGCUUCUUUGAUCUUAGAUGUCCAAGAUUACCUACCCCUAGCCUCCACUGGAGGUCAGAAUCCAGUCAAGUUUCCCUGAGCCACUUUCUGUCCCCAUGUGGAAAACUGUUUUUCCACACAAAGAGCUAUACUGUGCUGACCAGUUGUCUGAGAGACUUAACUCCACUCUUUAACUUGGAUCUUUAGUACUGUAGAUGUCUUCCCAGCAUCACUAGGAUUGCUACAACUGUCUGUGUUUUAUUCAAAAGUAGAAAAUCUCAUCAAGGAACACAAAAUUCAAAAUGCAUAUCAUGCUAAAGCAAAUGUCUCAGGCUGCCUGUCCUGUUUUGACAGGAUGAAAGCUAAUUCAUUCACACUACUGAUGCAAAGCUUGAAUAUUACAUGAAAAUGUCUAUCCACUGACAGUAGUUUACAUAUCCGAACAAGCAUGCAGUACUGUGUGGUGUAGCAAUCAUCUUUAAUGUGUACGUCUGUUAUUGGAUAAUGUCAUUUUGCCACAUGAAUAAACAAUUGUGAUGUAUGUGUAUAACAUAUAGUAAACAAAAGGUACAAAUUAUUGCUGCAAGAAGCAAACCAUUUUUAAUGUAAAUGUAUAAUAAAUUAAUGUAAUAAUGUGUAUGUAUAUUGUUUUUAAAGAAUGCUUAAUAAGUUAAACAUAACCUGUAUUUAAGACAAAAAUGAUUUUAUUAAAAUUCCCUUUACUGUUUUUUAAAGUUGUUUCCAUUCUUGAUUUUGAUACAUUAGUUGCAUUCAUUUAUUUCAUAGCUGAGAUCAUAUUUACGCACUUUUUCAAUAUUAUGAAUUUACUGCAGUUAUCUCUUCUGAUUUGGUGCAAACCUGCUCUUUUUAUUAUUUACUGGGACAAAUGUAAUUAAUUAAAUCUUAUUAUUGAAUGUCCCCA
This is a long non-coding RNA of Protopterus annectens (West African lungfish), 3814 nucleotides long. RefSeq lists it as uncharacterized. Lineage: Eukaryota; Metazoa; Chordata; Ceratodontiformes; Protopteridae. The transcript is spliced from 2 exons. The record is from RefSeq and is a predicted model, not a curated record.